Molecule: RNA transcript, 3110 nt
Organism: Nymphaea colorata (pocket water lily)
Lineage: Eukaryota; Viridiplantae; Streptophyta; Magnoliopsida; Nymphaeales; Nymphaeaceae
Gene name: pentatricopeptide repeat-containing protein At5g15980, mitochondrial
Exons: 3
Source: RefSeq, a predicted model, not a curated record
AAAAAUGGUGCUUGGAUAAAACCUAAACCCUCGGAUUCACCGGAAGAACAACGGCUGCAACUCUCCCCGCACGACUUACCGUCUUCACUCUCUCCACCGAGCCAGAAAAUGAUGCAACGAGUAGGCAGGAGACUUAUUGCCAGUAGGCUCGGCAUUCGUUUCUGCCAAUGUCGAGAACUGAGUUUUCUCCAAUACCAGGUGAGGAAAACAGAACCUCAGAAAUCUCGUUCUUUUCUUUUAUCUCCGUCGCGUUCUCUUCUCCAAAGCCUUGAUUUUGGCACAAAAUUGAGAACCCAAAUCUCCAAUUUCGCUUCCCAACCAGAAUCUGAAGCCACCAAGGGCAGCGAUCAUAUUGGCGCUCUAAUUGAGGCGCUUUCUGGUAAAGAAUGGUGCAAAGAAACAGUCGACCAUUUGGAAUCCCUUGAUCUUUCUUGGACCAAUCCGAUGGCAUUGUGGGUGUUGAGGAGGCUUGAUGAGGACCCGACUUUGGCUUUGAGUUUCUUCAAUUGGGUAUCGACGAAAAUCGCCGGGGGCUUGGAUUCUGAGGCGUAUAGUAUGAUGCUUGAGAUGUUGGUGCUGAAGGGUCACAUGGAAGAAUUCUGGGAUCUCGCCGAGCGGUUGAAGGUCGCGGGGCUCAGGAUGUAUAAGGGUACCAGGAGAAAGAUUAGGAAGAAAUUUUCUGAUGAAAACAUGGUGGACAGUUCACGGAGGUUGGAUGACUUCUUCGGCAUAAACGUUGAAAAGGAUUUGAUGAUAUUCGACGAAGAAGAAUUGGAGGCGUCCGAUGAGAUAGUUAGGCUAGUUGGAAGGAAGGAAGAAUGGGAUGAAGAAAUAGAGGAUAAGUUGAGUUCUGUAUCUCCAAAUAUAUCCAACGGAUUGGUGGUUAAUAUAUUGAAGAUGCUUAAGAGGGACCCUGUGAAAGCUUUGAUGUUUUUCCGAGGGCUUGGUGAGAGGCUAAAUUACAAACACGAUGCAGUUACAUACAAUGCAAUGAUCAGUGUAUUGGGCCGAAGAGGUAGUAUUGAUGAUUUUUGGGCUAUUGUGGAGGAAAUGAGAGAUUCAAGGUGUGAAAUGGAAAUUACCACCUAUCAAAACCUUUCACAGCGGUUCCAGAGGAGAAAAAUGUUGAAGGAAGCUGUUGAUCUAUACGAAUUCAUGGUGGCCAGUCCAUAUACGCCUCCAGCACAAGAUGGCAUCUUUCUUUUGCGAAGAAUUGUCAUUUGUGAUGUACCGGACUGGGAUUUGUUCGCCAGAGUUAUAAAGAUCAUGAAUUCAUCCGGGCAAUCUGUGUCGAAGAACGCUUUUGUUGGCAUUCUGAAAUCUUUGACCAGUGCAGGAAAAUUGGAUGAAACAAAGCAAGUAAUGAAGUCAAUGGAAGAGGGUGGCUUUGUACUUGAGAGUAGUUUGUGUGGGAGAGCUGUUUCUGCGCUUUGUGACGCUGGUAUGUUGGAGGAGGCAUGGAAUCUGUUUGAUGAAUUGGUUAAACUGGGUUGCAUGCCUGACUUGGCAACAAUGAGAUCUCCUAUUCAAAAGUAUUGUCUUUCUGGCAAACUAGACGAAGCGUUAAACAUUCUUCAGAAUAUGAUGCAACGAGAUGGACUUAUAUAUCCAGAUGCUUUAGAUAUACUGGUGAAUGCAUUUUGCAGGGAAGGUAGGGCUGUUGAUGUGCUGCCAUAUGUUUCUGAAGCUGUGAACAAGGAAAAACUGAGACCAGCUCAUGAUACGUUCAAAGUCUUGAUACAAAGCUUAGCUUGUCAAGGAAAUUUCAUGGAGGCAUCAAAAGUUCUACCCCUGAUGAAAAGCCAGGGUUUCCCACCUUUCCUGGACCCACUUGUUGACUUUAUUUCUAAGUUGGGAACAGCAGAUGAUGCAUUAAGCAUGCUGAAAGCAAUGACGGUGAAAAAUUAUCCUGCAAAUUCAGUGUUCCUGCGCAUGUUCAAGGCCUUUAAUGAUGCAGGCAGGCAUCAGAUUGCACAGGACUUGCUUUACAAAUGUCCAAGCUCUAUACGUAACCAUGCAGAUGUUUUGGAUCUCUUUUCCUCUAUGAAAUAUGAGCUCGCUGCUGCUUAGGCACAACAACGACAGGUUCUAAUGCAUGGGGUGGUUGGCUCCAAACUGAAGAGGUAGAUAGAAUUGAGCAGCUUCAACUAUGCGCAGUGCUAAUGGUACGAGAAGCUAAGGCUUCCCCCACCCGACACCUUCAGCUCGAUACCGUGCCUGCUCCCUUGUGGCUAAUGUUUAAAUUGGAAGUAACAUUUACCAUCUGCAAGGAGGGUCAUGUGGCUGCAAACAGGAGGAACUCAACGAUGCGUUCCAUCUUUAAAUAGCUAAAUCUUAUGAAAAUUAUGACUGUUUUAGCUGCAUCAUAUCAACUCCAUCGCAUUCUUGAGUCUUUCUCAUUUCGGAUGAAAAUUGGGGAUGUCAGCCGAUUGAAUUCAGAUUAGACCAUAAUCGACUUUUUGAAUGUGUUUUAUUUGAUUAUCUUAAUUCUCACAUGUAAUUGUAUUUGGGUAUUUGUAGAAUUUGAUAUUUAUUGGAUUUGGUAGGGAAAAUUUUUUCCAUUUCUGUAUCAUAUUACUACUUGAAUAUGAACUUAAUUUAUUGUCUGAUUCAACUACUUCAAGUCGCAUUCAGACACCCAAAAAAUCGACAUCCCUAUCUAAAAUCGACUUUUGAGGUGCAUGAAUGGUCUCCAUCACUGGAUUUUUCAGCAACAAAGGAGAAAUGAAUUAAAAGAAUAUGUUCUAUAGUGGAAAUGAUGUGAUGCUGGGGUCUAGCAGUUAUAGGAACGUGAGUUUGCGACAAUGAGCUUACAGCAAAGAAGCGAUGGAGGCAUCACCAAUGAAACGACCGGAUCCGCUCUUCCCAUCCUUCCGUGAGAGGGUGGGAGACUCUGAGAGAAAUAGCCUGCGAGAAUGGUGCUCAAGUAAGCUUGAUGCAAUCUAUCUUUAGAAUAACAAGACAUCCCUUCUUUCUCUAUUGCUGCCAUACGUGCGUCUUAUUAAUUUAGCUCUUUGGCAUCACACCUCUCUCUAUAAAAGGUGGGAGAGCUGUCAUGUUUACAGAAGUCAAGAUCUAUAGGCGUAGAAUGAUAUAGAAAGUCCCUCGUC